This 465-nucleotide ribosomal RNA is filed under the name uncultured bacterium. Its description in RNAcentral is "partial 16S ribosomal RNA". It matches the Rfam family "Bacterial small subunit ribosomal RNA", at positions 28 to 507 of the family's 1533-position model. The record is from RNAcentral.
GACGAACUCUGGCGGCGUGCUUAACACAUGCAAGUCGAACGGAAAGGCCCUGCUUGCAGGGUACUCGAGUGGCGAACGGGUGAGUAACACGUGGGUGAUCUGCCCUGCACUUCGGGAUAAGCCUGGGAAACUGGGUCUAAUACCGGAUAUGACCUUCCAUGUAGUGUGGGGGGUGGAAAGAUUUAUCGGUGUGGGAUGAGCCCGCGGCCUAUCAGCUUGUUGGUGGGGUAAUGGCCUACCAAGGCGUCGACGGGUAGCCGGCCUGAGAGGGUGGACGGCCACAUUGGGACUGAGAUACGGCCCAGACUCCUACGGGAGGCAGCAGUGGGGAAUAUUGCACAAUGGGCGGAAGCCUGAUGCAGCGACGCCGCGUGGGGGAUGACGGCCUUCGGGUUGUAAACCUCUUUCGACAGGGACGAAGCUUCGGUGACGGUACCUGUAUAAGAAGCACCGGCUAACUACGUG